ACCUUUUUCUCUUACACUUCCCAAAGCGUGAAAAACCCCACUCCCACCCCAACCAAAUAAAAUUAUCAAAAAACCCUCUUCCUCAAACACCACGAUGCCUUCCUCUAUGGUGGAGCUUUGAACUCCCAUUCUUCAUUGCAAUGACUUGCCUUCUCUGAGGGCGAUUUGAACUUGGACACCCACUCUACACAUCUGGUGAAUUUGUCUUGGCUUAGGGUUUGUUAUCCUUCUUGUCAAGGCAAGUAAUGCAUCCUGCAAUGUGCCACCUCUUUCAAAUAUGAUCAACUGUAUUUCCAACACCUGCUGUCCACAUAUUCAAAACUUGUCUCCAGGUUUUACAGUCGAGGGUCCAACAAUCUACUGGCUUGAGUUUGUCAAGAGCAUCUAAAUCACCGUAACUAACUCUUGACAUUCAUGUAAAUCCAAAAAAUUUGGAAGCAAGACGUCAGCUUUGGGACUCCGUUAUUGAUUCUAUCAAGAAUUUUAAAUUUGAAGAACCGGCCUGCAUCUGAUCAGAGUGAAGUGGAAGUAUGAGCAACUGAAAAUGAAAGAACAAGUUGAAGCACAAGACAAACCUACUGGUUUAUGUUUUAGGAAUUAUUUACAGAUAUUCUCAUUUAUACAUAUUACAUUUUAUUCUCUUUUGUAAGGAGUUGAUAUUUAAUGUCUUAUAAUAAGGAUAGAAAAUUUUAUGCAAUGCAACACUACACUUCUUUGUAA
This is a long non-coding RNA of Solanum tuberosum (potato), 720 nucleotides long. RefSeq lists it as uncharacterized. The record is from RefSeq and is a predicted model, not a curated record. The transcript is spliced from 3 exons. NCBI's taxonomy places the organism in Eukaryota, Viridiplantae, Streptophyta, Magnoliopsida, Solanales, Solanaceae.